UUUUAUUUGAGAGUUUGAUCCUGGCUCAGGAUGAACGCUGGCGGCGUGCUUAACACAUGCAAGUCGAGCGAAGCACUUAAGAAUGAUUCUUCAGAUGAAUUUUUUUGUGACUGAGCGGCGGACGGGUGAGUAACGCGUGGGUAACCUGCCUCAUACAGGGGGAUAACAGUUAGAAAUGACUGCUAAUACCGCAUAAGCGCACAGUGCCGCAUGGCACCGUGUGA
RNAcentral lists this ribosomal RNA (224 nucleotides) under Jingyaoa shaoxingensis. Its description in RNAcentral is "partial 16S ribosomal RNA". It matches the Rfam family "Bacterial small subunit ribosomal RNA", at positions 1 to 202 of the family's 1533-position model. The record is from RNAcentral. Lineage: Bacteria; Bacillati; Bacillota; Clostridia; Lachnospirales; Lachnospiraceae.